CUCGAGUGGCGACGGGUGAGUAACACGUGGGUGAUCUGCCCUGCACUUUGGGAUAAGCCUGGGAAACUGGGUCUAAUACCGGAUAGGACCAUGGCCUUCAUGGGUUGUGGUGGAAAGCUUUUGCGGUGUGGGAUGGGCCCGCGGCCUAUCAGCUUGUUGGUGGGGUAAUGGCCUACCAAGGCGACGACGGGUAGCCGGCCUGAGAGGGUGACCGGCCACACUGGGACUGAGAUACGGCCCAGACUCCUACGGGAGGCAGCAGUGGGGAAUAUUGCACAAUGGGCGCAAGCCUGAUGCAGCGACGCCGCGUGGGGGAUGACGGCCUUCGGGUUGUAAACCUCUUUCAGCACAGACGAAGCGUGAGUGACGGUAUGUGCAGAAGAAGCACCGGCCAACUACGUGCCAGCAGCCGCGGUAAUACGUAGGGUGCGAGCGUUGUCCGGAAUUACUGGGCGUAAAGAGCUCGUAGGUGGUUUGUCGCGUUGUUCGUGAAAACUCACAGCUUAACUGUGGGCGUGCGGGCGAUACGGGCAGACUGGAGUACUGCAGGGGAGACUGGAAUUCCUGGUGUAGCGGUGGAAUGCGCAGAUAUCAGGAGGAACACCGGUGGCGAAGGCGGGUCUCUGGGCAGUAACUGACGCUGAGGAGCGAAAGCGUGGGGAGCGAACAGGAUUAGAUACCCUGGUAGUCCACGCCGUAAACGGUGGGUACUAGGUGUGGGUUUCCUUCCUUGGGAUCCGUGCCGUAGCUAACGCAUUAAGUACCCCGCCUGGGGAGUACGGGCCGCAAGGCUAAAACUCAAAGGAAUUGACGGGGGCCCGCACAAGCGGCGGAGCAUGUGGAUUUAAUUUCGAUGCAACGCGAAGAACCCUUACUUGGGAUUUGACAUGCACAGGAACGUCGCAGAGAUGGUCGAUUCCAUGUGAUCUUGUGUGCAGCUGAGUGCAAUUGACCUGAUC
This 959-nucleotide ribosomal RNA is filed under the name Mycobacterium sp. RNAcentral describes it as "bacterial SSU rRNA". It matches the Rfam family "Bacterial small subunit ribosomal RNA", at positions 90 to 1059 of the family's 1533-position model. Lineage: Bacteria; Bacillati; Actinomycetota; Actinomycetes; Mycobacteriales; Mycobacteriaceae. The record is from RNAcentral.